Molecule: ribosomal RNA, 1534 nt
Filed under: Staphylococcus aureus
Lineage: Bacteria; Bacillati; Bacillota; Bacilli; Caryophanales; Staphylococcaceae
Description: partial 16S ribosomal RNA
Rfam family: Bacterial small subunit ribosomal RNA
Source: RNAcentral
UUUAUGGAGAGUUUGAUCCUGGCUCAGGAUGAACGCUGGCGGCGUGCCUAAUACAUGCAAGUCGAGCGAACGGACGAGAAGCUUGCUUCUCUGAUGUUAGCGGCGGACGGGUGAGUAACACGUGGAUAACCUACCUAUAAGACUGGGAUAACUUCGGGAAACCGGAGCUAAUACCGGAUAAUAUUUUGAACCGCAUGGUUCAAAAGUGAAAGACGGUCUUGCUGUCACUUAUAGAUGGAUCCGCGCUGCAUUAGCUAGUUGGUAAGGUAACGGCUUACCAAGGCAACGAUGCAUAGCCGACCUGAGAGGGUGAUCGGCCACACUGGAACUGAGACACGGUCCAGACUCCUACGGGAGGCAGCAGUAGGGAAUCUUCCGCAAUGGGCGAAAGCCUGACGGAGCAACGCCGCGUGAGUGAUGAAGGUCUUCGGAUCGUAAAACUCUGUUAUUAGGGAAGAACAUAUGUGUAAGUAACUGUGCACAUCUUGACGGUACCUAAUCAGAAAGCCACGGCUAACUACGUGCCAGCAGCCGCGGUAAUACGUAGGUGGCAAGCGUUAUCCGGAAUUAUUGGGCGUAAAGCGCGCGUAGGCGGUUUUUUAAGUCUGAUGUGAAAGCCCACGGCUCAACCGUGGAGGGUCAUUGGAAACUGGAAAACUUGAGUGCAGAAGAGGAAAGUGGAAUUCCAUGUGUAGCGGUGAAAUGCGCAGAGAUAUGGAGGAACACCAGUGGCGAAGGCGACUUUCUGGUCUGUAACUGACGCUGAUGUGCGAAAGCGUGGGGAUCAAACAGGAUUAGAUACCCUGGUAGUCCACGCCGUAAACGAUGAGUGCUAAGUGUUAGGGGGUUUCCGCCCCUUAGUGCUGCAGCUAACGCAUUAAGCACUCCGCCUGGGGAGUACGACCGCAAGGUUGAAACUCAAAGGAAUUGACGGGGACCCGCACAAGCGGUGGAGCAUGUGGUUUAAUUCGAAGCAACGCGAAGAACCUUACCAAAUCUUGACAUCCUUUGACAACUCUAGAGAUAGAGCCUUCCCCUUCGGGGGACAAAGUGACAGGUGGUGCAUGGUUGUCGUCAGCUCGUGUCGUGAGAUGUUGGGUUAAGUCCCGCAACGAGCGCAACCCUUAAGCUUAGUUGCCAUCAUUAAGUUGGGCACUCUAAGAUGACUGCCGGUGACAAACCGGAGGAAGGUGGGGAUGACGUCAAAUCAUCAUGCCCCUUAUGAUUUGGGCUACACACGUGCUACAAUGGACAAUACAAAGGGUAGCGAAACCGCGAGGUCAAGCAAAUCCCAUAAAGUUGUUCUCAGUUCGGAUUGUAGUCUGCAACUCGACUACAUGAAGCUGGAAUCGCUAGUAAUCGUAGAUCAGCAUGCUACGGUGAAUACGUUCCCGGGUCUUGUACACACCGCCCGUCACACCACGAGAGUUUGUAACACCCGAAGCCGGUGGAGUAACCUUUUAGGAGCUAGCCGUCGAAGGUGGGACAAAUGAUUGGGGUGAAGUCGUAACAAGGUAGCCGUAUCGGAAGGUGC